CGGGACGGGUGAGUAACGCGUGGGCAACCUGCCCUGUACUGGGGGAUAACACCUGGAAACAGGUGCUAAUACCGCAUAAGCGCGCAGUGCCGCAUGGCACGGCGCGGAAAACCCCGGUGGUACAGGAUGGGCCCGCGUCUGAUUAGCUGGUUGGCAGGGUAACGGCCUACCAAGGCGACGAUCAGUAGCCGGCCUGAGAGGGUGGACGGCCACACUGGGACUGAGACACGGCCCAGACUCCUACGGGAGGCAGCAG
RNAcentral lists this ribosomal RNA (256 nucleotides) under uncultured bacterium. RNAcentral describes it as "partial 16S ribosomal RNA". It matches the Rfam family "Bacterial small subunit ribosomal RNA", at positions 98 to 354 of the family's 1533-position model. The record is from RNAcentral.